GUAGGCAGUGAGCGCAGGUUAAAAAAGGAAAGUGAAUCUGGUUCCUGAGUUUGAGAAACUCAUGACGCAUCCAGGUAGAGACUUAAAAUACUUGGAAGAGCAAUCUGCCUGAAAAUAGAGAUUUGGAAGACAUCAGCAAAUAGGCGGUAGUGGAAACAAGGAAGUGAACGCUCAGAAAAGUAGUGGAUAGAGAGCUCAUGUAGUGCGUAGAGAGCUCAUGUAGUGGGUGGAGAGCUCAUGUAGUGGGUAGAGAGCCAGGAAGUGCAGACUCGGGAGUGGACGGGGAAGGGAGGGAGAUGAGGGGCCAGAGAAAGUUUCAAGAAGGAGAAAAGUAUAAUUCUUCAGAAAGGUUGAUAAAUCACGGUGCUGACCUCUUUUCCCCUCCUGCUGUUUGGAGACGUCUGGGCCCUCAUUUAGUGCUUCCUUUCGGAGGACGCUGGGCCUUCCAGGACUGUGUGACCCGCCCAGCAUGGAUGCUGAUCUGCGCUCCUGAAAUGACCUUAUUCUUCACAGAUGAAAAUCGUCAGACAGGAUCCAUGGCCGAUUCACCUUGAUCUUUCCAAGAAUAUCGUGUUUCUUCAUUUUUACACUAGAUGUUCAUGUUUAACACACACAAACUGUUCAAUAAGUAUUUUAGUGUGUUAAUAAAAGGAGGCUCACUGGACCCAACAGAACGACAUGUAAUGGAGUCCAACAGUGCAACACAACAUCCCAAGGAAAGAUUGACCAAUGGAGCUGUGGAAGAACAAGAAUCCAGCUGGCCCCUUGGAACAACUGGGACCAAAAGUUUCAACAUCUUCAGGACUCUCUUUCAAUCCCUAGGUCCUCUGUUGGCCUCAUUCCUAUUCCCCACAAUUAGCUGUGUCUACACGCAAAAAACAUGGCUCCCCAAGUAACACUUAACAACUUCUGCCUCCAAAGAGGGACUCCCCAUCUUCCCUAGUCUCACACAGGGCUGUCGUUCAGCCAGCAUGCCCUGGUUUUGGACACUGACGAUCAACCCUGGAAUUAGUUUCAAAUAUCCCAGGGAAGGGAAUCGUUGGUGUUACCUUUCAUUCAAUAAACUACAGGCAGGGGGCCAGGUUCCUUAAGAGCAUGGCUGCUCCCACAAACAUCACAGGUUUGAUGUGAUGGAAGAUACACUUCCCAAGAAUAAGGGUUGGUACUGGGAAGAUGACUUCUAUAUGUGUAGUUCUGGCUUUCAUCUUCCAAAAUGGUAAAAUACAGUAACUUUUUAAAGGAAAAGAAAAAAAUCGAAGGUACUCAAAAUCAUCUUUCUUUCUCAAUUUUAUUUCUACUCUCUCUCCAUUAGAAUGCACUUCAGCAUGUAUGUGCUAAGUCACUUCAGUCAUGUCCAACUUUGUGUGACCCUACGGACUGCAGCCUGCCAGGCGCCUCUGUCCAUGGGAUUCUCCAGGCAAGAAUCCUGGAGUAGGUUGCCAUGCCCUCCUCC
This is a long non-coding RNA of Bos taurus (domestic cattle), 1453 nucleotides long. Lineage: Eukaryota; Metazoa; Chordata; Mammalia; Artiodactyla; Bovidae. The record is from Ensembl.